Molecule: long non-coding RNA, 3645 nt
Organism: Megalobrama amblycephala (Wuchang bream)
Lineage: Eukaryota; Metazoa; Chordata; Actinopteri; Cypriniformes; Xenocyprididae
Exons: 2
Source: RefSeq, a predicted model, not a curated record
UCAGAUGUAGUCAAUGAGUAUGUAUUGGAAGUUCAUGAUCGAGGACUAAUUUGCCAGAAAUAUGUUCAGUAGGUCAGACUCAUGUAUGGCUGAAGUAAGAUCAGAGUGAGGCAAAGAGCAAGGAGUACACAAAACUUUUUUUAACUGUUUUUUAAAGCAAGUCUAAUAUCGAUUUCUGUAUGGCUGAAAUAAAAUCAGGAGUCUGUGAGUUUGUAUAGAAAGUUCAAGAUUAAGUACUCUUGGGCCAGAAAUAUGUUCAGUAGGUCAAAUGUAGACUUCUAGAUGGCUGAUGUGACAUCGAAAGCUUCAAUGAAUAUGUAUAAAAACUUCAGUGUUGAAUACUCUUUGGCCAUAUACAUUUUCAGUGGGUCAAAUACGGACUACUAUCUGGCUUGUCUAACAUCAGAUGGAGUCAAUAAUGUAUAAUGUAUUAUUAUUGUAUGUAUAGGAAAUUCAUGAUCGAGGACUAAUUUGCCAGAAAUAUGUUCAGUAGAUCUAAUAUGGACUUCUGUGGGUGAAUUAACAAAAGAAGGAGUCAAUAGUAAUGUAUGAAAUGUUCAAAAGUUCAAAGUGAAAGUUGAAGACUGAAUAUUUUUUGGCCAUAAAUAUGUCCUUUAGGUCAAAUAUGCAAAACUCUAUGGCUGACGUAUAAGGAGUCAAUGAGUAUGUAUAGAAAGUUCAUGAGCAAGGACAAAGUUACAAGAGAUAUGUUCUGUAGGUCAAACUGUAGCUCAUGUAUGGCUGAAGUAACAUCAGAGUGAGGCAAUGAGCAUGUAUAGAAAGUUCAUGAUUGAGGACUCUUGGGACAGAAAUAUGUUCAGUAGAUCAGAUAUUGACUUCUGUCUGCCUGAUCCAACAACAGAAGGAGCCAACGAGUCUGUAUAGGAAUUUCAUUGUUGAGGACUUAUUUGGCAGAAAUUUGUUCAGUAGGUCAAAAUGGGUUCAUAUAUGGCUGAAGUAACAUCAGAGUGAAUCAAUGAAUAUGAAUUGAAAGUUCAAGAUUGAAUGCUCCUGGGACAGAAAUAUGUUCAUUUGGUCAAAUAAGGACCACUGUAUGACUAAUGUGAUAUCAGAAGGAGUCAGUAAGUAAAUAUAAAAAGUUCAAGAUCGAGUAGUCUUUGGCCAGAAAUAUGUCCCUUAGGUCAAAUAUGCAAUACUGUAUGGCUUAUCUAACAUCAGAUGGAGUCAAUGAGUAUGUAUUGGAAGUUCAUGAUCGAGGACUAAUUUGCCAGAAAUAUGUUCAGUAGGUCAGACUCAUGUAUGGCUGAAGUAAGAUCAGAGUGAGGCAAAGAGCAAGGAGUAUACAAAACUUAUGAUUGAGGACUCUGGGGACAAUUUUUUUUUAAAGCAAUUCUAAUAUCGAUUUCUGUAUGGCUGAAAUAAAAUCAGGAGUCUGUGAGUUUGUAUAGAAAGUUCAAGAUUAAGUACUCUUGGGCCAGAAAUAUGUUCAGUAGGUCAAAUGUAGACUUCUAGAUGGCUGAUGUGACAUCGAAAGCUUCAAUGAAUAUGUAUAAAAACUUCAGUGUUGAAUACUCUUUGGCCAUAUACAUUUUCAGUGGGUCAAAUACGGACUACUAUCUGGCUUGUCUAACAUCAGAUGGAGUCAAUAAUGUAUAAUGUAUUAUUAUUGUAUGUAUAGGAAAUUCAUGAUCGAGGACUAAUUUGCCAGAAAUAUGUUCAGUAGAUCUAAUAUGGACUUCUGUGGGUGAAUUAGCAAAAGAAGUAGUCAAUAGUAAUGUAUGAAAUGUUCAAAAGUUCAAAGUGAAAGUUCAAGACUGAAUAUUUUUUGGCCAUAAAUAUGUCCUUUAGGUCAAAUAUGCAAAACUCUAUGGCUGACGUAUAAGGAGUCAAUGAGUAUGUAUAGAAAGUUCAUGAGCAAGGACAAAGUUACAAGAGAUAUGUUCUGUAGGUCAAACUGUAGCUCAUGUAUGGUUGAAGUAACAUCAGAGUGAGGCAAAGAGUAUGUAUACAAAAUACAUGAUCACUUGGGACAAAAUCUAAUUUUAAGUAGGUCUAAUAUGGACUUCUGUAUGGCUGAAAUAAAUUCAGAAGGAGUCAAUGAGUCAGUUUAGAAAGUUCAAGAUUGAGGUCUAAUUUGCCAGAAAUAUGUUCAGUAGGUCAAACAUGGCCUCAUGUAUGGCUGAAGUAACAUCAGAGUGAGGCAAUGAGCAUGUAUAGAAAGUUCAUGAUUGAGUACUUUUGAGACAGAAAUAUGUUCAGUAGAUCAGAUAUUGACUUCUGUCUGCCUGAUCCAACAACAGAAGGAGCCAACGAGUCUGUAUAGGAAUUUCAUUGUUGAGGACUUAUUUGGCAGAAAUUUGUUCAGCAGGUCAAAAUGGGUUCAUAUAUGGCUGAAGUAACAUCAGAGUGAAUCAAUGAAUAUGAAUUGAAAGUUCAAGAUUGAAUACUCCUGGGACAGAAAUAUGUUCAUUUGGUCAAAUAUGGACCACUGUAUGACUAAUGUGAUAUCAGAAGGAGUCAGUAAGUAAAUAUAAAAAGUUCAAGAUCGAGUAGUCUUUGGCCAGAAAUAUGUCCCUUAGGUCAAAUAUGCAGUACUGUAUGGCUUAUCUAACAUCAGAUGUAGUCAAUGAGUAUGUAUUGGAAGUUCAUGAUCGAGGACUAAUUUGCCAGAAAUACGUUAAACAGCUCAAACGCGGACUUCUUUAUAGCUGAAUUUGUAAUUUGUAUUAACAGUUCAUGAUCGAGGACUAAGUUGUCAGAAAUAUGUUCAGUAGGUCAAACAUGGGCUCAUGUAUGGCUAAAGUAACAUCAAAGUGAGGCAAAGAGCAAAAGUAUGAAAAAACUCGUGAUCGAGGACUCUGAGGACAUUUUUUUUUAAAGUAGGUCUAAUAUCGAUUUCUGUAUGGCUGAAAUAAAAUCAGUAGUCCGUGAGUUUGUUUAGAAAGUUCAAGAUUGCGUACUCUUGGGCCAGAAAUAUGUUCAGUAGGACAAAUAUAGACUUCUAUCUGGCUGAAGUGACAUCAGAAGGUGUCAUUGAGUAUAUAAAAAAUCUUCAGUGUUGAAUAAUCUUUUGUCCAGAAGUAUGUUCAGUCAGUCAAAUAUGGACUUCUGAGUGGGUGAAUUAACAUCAGAAGGAGUCAAUAGUAAUGUAUGACACAUUCAAAAGUUCAAGAUUGAGUACUCUUUGGCCAGAAAUAUGUCCUUCAGGUCAAAUAUGCAUUACCCUAUGGCAGACAUAACAUCAGAAGGAGUCAGUGAGUAUGUUUAAAAAGUUCAUGAGCAAGGACAAAUAUACCAGAGAUAUGUUCUGUAGGUCAAACAUAAGCUCAUGUAUGGAUGAAGUAACAUCAGAGUGAGGCAAAGAGUAUGUAUACAAAAUACAUGAUCACUUGGGACAAAAUCUAAUUUUAAGUAGGUCUAAUAUGGACUUCUGUAUGGCUGAAAUAAAUUCAGAAGGAGUCAAUGAGUCAGUUUAGAAAGUUCAAGAUUGAGGUCUAAUUUGCCAGAAAUAUGUUCAGUAGGUCAAACAUGGCCUCAUGUAUGGCUGAAGUAACAUCAGAGUGAGGCAAUGAGCAUUAUUAGAAAGUUCAUGAUUGAGGACUCUUGGGACAGAAAUAUGUUCAGUAGGUCAAAUAUAGACUUCUAUAUGGCUGAGUUACAUCAGAAGGCGUCAUUGAGUAUAUA